RNAcentral lists this ribosomal RNA (460 nucleotides) under uncultured bacterium. RNAcentral's name for it is "partial 16S ribosomal RNA". It matches the Rfam family "Bacterial small subunit ribosomal RNA", at positions 338 to 795 of the family's 1533-position model. The record is from RNAcentral.
CCUACGGGUGGCUGCAGUGAGGAAUAUUGGUCAAUGGCCGGAAGGCUGAACCAGCCAUGCCGCGUGAAGGUCAGUGCCCUAUGGGCGUUAAACUUCUUUUGUGCGGGAGCAAUAAUGGUCACGUGUGGCCAGACGAGAGUACCGUACGAAUAAUCAUCGGCUAACUCCGUGCCAGCAGCCGCGGUAAUACGGGGGAUGCAAGCGUUAUCCGGAUUUAUUGGGUUUAAAGGGUGCGUAGGCUGGGCGGUAAGUCAGCGGUGAAAUGCCCCCGCUCAACGGGGUGAAGUGCCAUUGAUACUGCCUGGCUGGAAUGCGGAUGCCGUGGGAGGAAUGUGUGGUGUAGCGGUGAAAUGCAUAGAUAUCACACAGAACACCGAUUGCGAAGGCAUCUCACGAAUCCGCGAUUGACGCUGAUGCACGAAAGCGUGGGUAUCAAACAGGAUUAGAUACCCCAGUAGUC